Molecule: long non-coding RNA, 804 nt
Organism: Haliotis rufescens (red abalone)
Lineage: Eukaryota; Metazoa; Mollusca; Gastropoda; Lepetellida; Haliotidae
Exons: 5
Source: RefSeq, a predicted model, not a curated record
CUAAAGUCGCCGAUUGCUUAUCAGCCCAGUGAGGAAUAUGAAGAGUUCUUUUCACACAGUGUAGGUUGUGUGAGUUGGGUGGAUUUGUCGGUGGUGGAUCUGGCUGAGCUGUGUGGUGGUCAGGAUUUCCACAACCCCACCCUGACAACAGUGCCACGGCAGUCCUCUCUGUAACAUUGAAGUCAACGGGCGUUACAUCCUCUACAGAAGUCACUGCUCCCCUAACGUUGGCAUCAACGUCAUCGUCAACGUCGGCUUCAACGUCGGCCUCAACGUCAUCUUUAAACGUCGGCGUCAACAUCAUCUUCAACGUCAUCUUCAAAAUCGGCUUCAACGUCAUCUUCAACGUCGGCCUCAACGCCAACGCCUACACUGGUCGCAAAGGAAGGAAUGAAAUGUCAAGUCUGUGGGGACUUGAACGCGAAGAUUCCGUGCAGCCCGAGGGAUAUGUUUGUACCAAAGGAACAACUGUAUGGUCAAUUCUGUAUGAUUGAUGUUCUACAUGACGUGAAUGGCGUUCAGACGACGUAUAAAAGGUGCGUGAACCAGAGGACCUGCUCCAGACAAUGGUACCACUAGACUUCGGACGAGGGGAGAUGCAUACAGAAACAACUAUGUACAGUAAUUCGCUUUGAAUCACCCACAAUCUCUUAAAUUCACUGAACAAUUUCCUAUGUCCCUAAUGUCUCCUUCGAGAAUAAGCUGGAAGAUACAACCGUAACCUGUAUAUUUCGUUUUACCAGGUGUUACCAAAUGUACGUGAAUACCGUUCUGAGUGGAAUGCAAAUAAAAUGUUUGCUUUCA